AGCCUUCUGUAUCUGUGCUGAGAUUUCGUCAUACACCAGACCACAAGGGCUGAUGAGACUACCAAGAUAAGUGAAGCU
This 78-nucleotide microRNA precursor is filed under the name Schistosoma mansoni. RNAcentral describes it as "mir-3492 microRNA precursor family". It matches the Rfam family "mir-3492 microRNA precursor family". Lineage: Eukaryota; Metazoa; Platyhelminthes; Trematoda; Strigeidida; Schistosomatidae. The record is from Rfam by way of RNAcentral.